This 77-nucleotide transfer RNA is filed under the name Patescibacteria group bacterium. Its description in RNAcentral is "tRNA-Val". It matches the Rfam family "tRNA". From Rfam's summary of the family: Transfer RNA (tRNA) molecules are approximately 80 nucleotides in length. The record is from RNAcentral.
GGGCGGUUAGCUCAGUUGAUUAGAGCGUUCGCUUGACGUGCGAAAGGUCACUGGUUUGAAUCCAGUACCGCCCACCA